Molecule: ribosomal RNA, 468 nt
Filed under: uncultured bacterium
Lineage: Bacteria
Description: partial 16S ribosomal RNA
Rfam family: Bacterial small subunit ribosomal RNA
Source: RNAcentral
GACGAACGCUGGCGGCGUGCUUAACACAUGCAAGUCGAACGGAAAGGCCCUGCUUUUGUGGGGUGCUCGAGUGGCGAACGGGUGAGUAACACGUGAGUAACCUGCCCUUGACUUUGGGAUAACUUCAGGAAACUGGGGCUAAUACCGGAUAGGAGCUCCUGCUGCAUGGUGGGGGUUGGAAAGUUUCGGCGGUUGGGGAUGGACUCGCGGCUUAUCAGCUUGUUGGUGGGGUAGUGGAUUACCAAGGCUUUGACGGGUAGCCGGCCUGAGAGGGUGACCGGCCACAUUGGGACUGAGAUACGGCCCAGACUCCUACGGGAGGCAGCAGUGGAGAAUAUUGCACAAUGGGCGGAAGCAUGAUGCAGCAACGCCGCGUGCGGGAUGACGGCCUUCGGGUUGUAAACCGCUUUCGCCUGUGACGAAGCGUGAGUGACGGUAAUGGGUAAAGAAGCACCGGCUAACUACGUG